GACGAACGCUGGCGGCGUGCUUAACACAUGCAAGUCGAACGGAAAGGCCCUGCUUGCAGGGUACUCGAGUGGCGAACGGGUGAGUAACACGUGGGUGAUCUGCCCUGCACUUCGGGAUAAGCCUGGGAAACUGGGUCUAAUACCGGAUAGGAGCCAUUUUUAGUGUGAUGGUUGGAAAGUUUUUUCGGUGUAGGAUGAGCUCGCGGCCUAUCAGCUUGUUGGGGGGGUAAUGGCCUACCAAGGCGGCGACGGGUAGCGGGCCUGAGAGGGUGGACGGCGACAUUGGGACUGAGAGACGGCCCAGACUCCUACGGGAGGCAGCAGGGGGGAAUAUUGCACAAGGGGCGCAAGCCUGAUGCAGCGACGCCGCGUGGGGGAUGACGGCCUUCGGGUUGUAAACUCCUUUCGCUAGGGACGAAGCUUGUUGUGACGGUACCUAGAUAAGAAGCACCGGCUAACUACGUG
RNAcentral lists this ribosomal RNA (465 nucleotides) under uncultured bacterium. Its description in RNAcentral is "partial 16S ribosomal RNA". It matches the Rfam family "Bacterial small subunit ribosomal RNA", at positions 28 to 507 of the family's 1533-position model. The record is from RNAcentral.